Egretta garzetta (little egret) is the source of this 4069-nucleotide RNA transcript. It is a transcript of the gene named ERCC excision repair 8, CSA ubiquitin ligase complex subunit, with no coding region annotated. NCBI's taxonomy places the organism in Eukaryota, Metazoa, Chordata, Aves, Pelecaniformes, Ardeidae. The transcript is spliced from 12 exons. The record is from RefSeq and is a predicted model, not a curated record.
AUAUUUGUUCUGCCAACUUCACAGGACUUAUUUCUAACCCUGUAUCAUGUCUGCAAUUGCAGUUUUGCAAAAAAUACUGGGGUUAAGUGGAUUGGGGAAGUGAAAAGCUAUCAUUUGAGCUGUUCAGAGCUACAUAGUAACGUUCUAGAGUUCUGUUGUUCAUAUCUCUGUUUUUCUUUUUUGUUGUUUUGCUGUUGUUUUAAGGGUUCUAAGUCUGGAAUUAAAUACAGAUAGAGAUGUGGAAAGAAUACAUGAGACUGGUAUCAACACCCUUGAUAUUGAGCCUGUUGAGGGAAGAUACAUGUUAUCCGGUGGGUCAGAUGGUGUUAUUGUACUUUACGACCUUGAAAACUUGAGCAGAAAACCAAGUUACACAUGUAAAGCUCUUUGUUCUGUGGGAAGGAGCCAUCCUGAUGUACAUAGAUUCAGUGUGGAGACAGUCCAGUGGUAUCCUCAUGACACUGGCAUGUUUACAUCCAGCUCAUUUGAUAAAACCUUGAAAAUAUGGGAUACAAAUACUUUACAACCUGCAGAGGUAUUUCGCUUUGAGGGAACAAUCUAUAGCCAUCACAUGUCUCCAGUUGCUACAAAGCAUUGUUUAAUAGCAGUUGGUACCAAAAGCCCCAAAGUACAGCUCUGUGACUUGAAGUCUGGAUCCUGUUCUCACAUUCUGCAGGGUCACAGGCAAGAAAUACUGGCGGUGUCUUGGUCCCCACGUCAUGAAUAUAUUCUGGCAACAGCAAGUGCUGACAGUAGAGUAAAAUUAUGGGAUGUGAGGAGAGCAUCUGGAUGUCUGACUACGCUUGAUCAGCACAAUGGAGAAAAGUCCAAAGCAUCUUCUGAGGCAGCGAAUACUGCUCACAAUGGGAGAGUUAAUGGUUUAUGCUAUACAAAUGAUGGACUUCAUCUGUUGACCAUUGGUACAGAUGAUCGGAUGCGACUCUGGAACAGCUCCACUGGAGAAAACACAUUAGUGAAUUAUGGGAAAGUCUAUAAUGAAAGUAGAAAAGGGCUCAAAUUCACCAUCUCUUGUGGCUGUAAUCCAGAGUUUGCCUUUGUACCGUAUGGUGGUACCAUUGCUGUUUAUACAAUUUUCACAGGAGAACUGAUAACUAUGCUUAGAGGGCAUUAUAGUACUGUCAACUGCUGUGUGUUUCAAUGUAAUUUUCAGGAACUUUAUAGUGGUAGCAAAGACUGCAAUAUCCUUGCAUGGAUACCGGCUCUUCAAGAGCCACUUCCCGAUAAUGUUUCUGAAAAGAAUCUGCCUCAACAACACUUAAAUCCAGCAUAUGAAGACGCAUGGAGUAGCAGUGAUAAUGAAGGCUGACUUUCAAUUAUGUGCUGAUACAAAAUUGACAUUGAGGCACUGCAUUCAUGGACUUUACCUACAGAAUUGGAUACUGUCAGAUUUAUUACAACUGGAUUUUUGGUAGAGUUCUGUUAGAGCAAGGUCUUUCAGAAGUAAGUUUCCACUGUUCUCUGUGUUCUUUCUUCACUGUUACACUUAAAUCUAAAGGAUAACUUUUUCAUACUUACUGACUUUUGUACUUACCUUUACACAUUGGUAUACUUUAUUCACUGUUGAACAGCUGAUAAAGGAAAAAUAAAAGCCCUUGGAACCAGUUAAUAUUGCAUUGGUUUUGGUAUCACUAAUGCAUCCCUAUGUUUCCAAGAGACAUGAUACAGAGGAUUUUGCCUGAAGGAGGACUAGCUCAGGCAUACUUCCAGCUUAUUUUUAAAAAUUUCUAGAUGGAGCAGACUGCGUCCAUUUUCAAGUGCUUAUGUGCUGUGGGAACCAACAGGAUUUUGUGCCUGUUCUUUUGCAUUUUCAGUUUUGUGUGUUUCUCUAUAAAUGCAGCAUUCAGUUCAGAAAGAGGUAUAGCUGGGAUCAUCUAUGCAAGUAUUUGUGGUGACCCCAUCAGCUAAUAUCUGAAUCUGUCCCAGAAAGUUAACAAUAGAAGCUAGUUUAUUUAGAGUUUUUGUUGUUCCUGUUAGCAGGUUUUUAAGAUCAGUCUUCUAUGUAUGAAUCUCUCGUGUGAAGAAUUCCGGGACAGAAACAGGCUUGAGAUAUGCUGUGUCAACAGGGCAGAAUGAAUGCAGCAGUUUGGGGAGCCCAUGUUUGCUGUGAUAAAAGUUGCACCAAACAGUAGGUGUAUGGUAAGAAUAUCAAGUUCUCAUGUUUUGUGCCAGUCAGUAGGGAGUGUCUCGUGUUGCUCAACAGUUAAUUACUGUUGCUAUCGCCUCCUACACUGUUCUGCAACACCCCAGGAAAUCAGCUGAUUAUGAUUCUUACACUAGCAAACAUGAAAAAAUGUUUGGGGACUUUAUAAAAUAGCAGAUUUGAAUUAAGCUCUUUUCUUUUGCCCAUCACUAGUUCUUCUAGGUGGAGUAUAUGGCCCAGAGAAUGUAUUUUUGUACCUGAAUGAUGCAUUAUGGCCUCUGUGAGUUGAAGCUAAGCACCUUCAGUAUCCAAAUGGUCUGAUGCUGUUCUGUGGUUUUGCACCACCACUGGUGCAACAGGAGCCUUAUACCAAACAGUUCUGCACAUCUUCUGUGGGAAAUGGUCACAUUUGGCACUUAGUUGGUGUGUAUUGCUUGUUCCCAGGGUAGUGCAUAAAUUGUUUCCCAAGGAAAAAAAAUGCAUCUCUAGAGUUGCAUGGAACUUUGCCAUCUGAAUGCUAUUCAUCAUUGUUUAUAAAGAAAGUUUCCAGAACAUUUAAUUGUUUUGCAGACAGGUAAUCUACCUGAGGGCCUGCAUGCAUGUUUGAAACAGCUGCUUCAUCCUGUUCUGCCACUAUGGGUAACUAUUAAAGUUUAGAUUGACUAAUGCAGGAUAUCAAAGUAAUUUAAAUAACACUCAGUGAUGGGCUACUAUAUUAAAUGUAGAUACCUAUGAGACAUGCAGAACUCUGGGCUGUAAGAAUUAUAUUCCUGCUUAGCAGAAUUCCCCUGUGUUGGAUUAUAGGUUUCAGUAUUUCAGGAGGCUUACUCUGUGUGCCCUAAACAUGCAUAAGGUCUCACUGGUACAUCUCAUAUCAGUAGGAAUGCUUAUUAUAUAUUCCAGUGGCCUUGAAAACUGCACCAGCAAAGAUUUUUCCUGCCAGAGAGAGGAAAAAUGAUGCAAGUCAAAGGGUAGAAAGUGGUCCCGUGAUUCACAAGACUGCUCAAGCAUUAAGGUUGGCAGGCACAAGAAAAAUGAAGACAGAGAAAGGAAACAAAGAGCCAUUCUAGUUUAUAGAAGGGAAGGUAGAGCCCUGCUUGUGCCCCAAGAUGCACAGGGUGUGCAUGUUCGACAGUCCUCCAUGCUGCAGUGGUGCAUCACCAAGGCCAAUGCUCGCUCCUGCAGCACCCUGAUCUCCUGAACCCUGAAGUGAAGAUCCUGCUCCAAGUCAGCCAGUGCACAGGAGCUGUGAAAGCAACAGUUUUCACACUGCUCCAUCUUCCUUCUAUCCCUACUGCUUUUACCCAGGGUCAAUUAAAUACAAAUAUUUCAUGAUCCCCAACCCCUUCCUCCUCUCCCUCUCUCCCCAGCAGGCUGUUGAUAAUCAUUGCUGUUAAUUUGCAUCUCCUUUCUCUGCUGCACACAGCCAUGCCCACGCACAGCUCUCCAAGCCAGGACUUAAUCCUGGCCUGUCUCUACACUGAGGUCCUCAGCCUUUUACUCAUACAAUAUUAUUCAUCCAGCUCUUCUGCUUAAAAUUAGUAGUUCUGUCUGCUUUUGGAAUAUCACCCAAACUCUCUGGAGAGUCUGUCGGCCCAUCCUCUCCUUUUUUCUCCAUUUCCAUUCAGCUGGCAUAGCUAUGUGCUUAGGUGCAUACAGUGGUUUGCCAGUUCAGAGAGUAUUCUGAGCAGAAGAACAUGAGAGCUUUGAUCUGAAAGCCAUUUGGCUAUGUUAGAGCAGAACUGCACCCACAGAAUAAGGAAAAUGGGAAGGAGGUUUCAUUAGCUUUUUCAUAACCCUUUGUUAACAUAUACAUGCAGUUUCUGGAGUAACACUAGCUGCUUGUUAACUCACUUGGACCCAGUGCAAUAUUUUUCUAUGAAGAAGCAGCUCAUUAGUUCACACACU